RNAcentral lists this ribosomal RNA (324 nucleotides) under uncultured eukaryote. RNAcentral's name for it is "partial 18S ribosomal RNA". It matches the Rfam family "Eukaryotic small subunit ribosomal RNA", at positions 1470 to 1796 of the family's 1831-position model. The record is from RNAcentral.
CCCUUAGAUGUUCUGGGCCGCACGCGCGCUACACUGAUGCAUUCAACGAGUUUCUUCCUGGUCCGAGAGGAAUGGGUAACCUUUUGAAAGUGCAUCGUGAUAGGGAUAGACUAUUGCAAUUAUUGGUCUUCAACGAGGAAUUCCUAGUAGACGUAGUUCAUCAGACUGCAUCGAUUACGUCCCUGCCCUUUGUACACACCGCCCGUCGCUCCUACCGAUUGAAUGCUCAGGUGAGCCAUUCGGACUUUAAUCAUGCUGGUUUCCAGUUUUGAUGAAGGAAAGUCUUGCGAACCUUAUCAUUUAGAGGAAGGAGAAGUCGUAACA